UGAAACUGUGUCUGCUUAAGUUAUAUGUGCUGUUUCUCUUGUUUAUACUUACAGAUCUUUACACAAACCCCAGCUGUUACAUCUCCUUCCUGACACCUAGCUGCACAGUUCUGAAAGAAAAUAAAACAACAAAAAUAAGAAAGAGAAAGGAAAGUAGGCUCUUUCUGCGCACCUCCUCCUUUGUUGUAGAGCUCCAAGAC
Molecule: long non-coding RNA, 200 nt
Filed under: Fukomys damarensis (Damara mole-rat)
Lineage: Eukaryota; Metazoa; Chordata; Mammalia; Rodentia; Bathyergidae
Description: lncRNA (ENSFDAG00000031831.1)
Source: RNAcentral